RNAcentral lists this ribosomal RNA (737 nucleotides) under uncultured bacterium. RNAcentral's name for it is "bacterial SSU rRNA". It matches the Rfam family "Bacterial small subunit ribosomal RNA", at positions 44 to 771 of the family's 1533-position model. The record is from RNAcentral.
AGGCCUAACACAUGCAAGUCGAGGGGCAGCACAUGAAGUAGCAAUACAGAUGGUGGCGACCGGCGCACGGGUGAGUAACACGUAUGCAACCUACCUUCCACAGGAGAAUAACCCGUUGAAAAACGGACUAAUACUCCAUAAUACAGGGGUCCCGCAUGGGAAUAUUUGUUAAAGAUUUUUUUCGGUAGAAGAUGGGCAUGCGUUCCAUUAGCUAGUUGGUUGAGGUAACGGCUCACCAAGGCAACGAUGGAUAGGGGAACUGAGAGGUUUAUCCCCCACACUGGUACUGAGACACGGACCAGACUCCUACGGGAGGCAGCAGUGAGGAAUAUUGGUCAAUGGAGGCAACUCUGAACCAGCCACGUCGCGUGAAGGAUGACGGCCCUACGGGUUGUAAACUUCUUUUAUACAGGAAUAAAGUGAGUCACGUGUGACUUUUUGCAUGUACUGUAUGAAUAAGGAUCGGCUAACUCCGUGCCAGCAGCCGCGGUAAUACGGAGGAUCCAAGCGUUAUCCGGAUUUAUUGGGUUUAAAGGGUGCGCAGGCGGAAGAUUAAGUCGGCGGUGAAGUUUUGCAGCUCAACUGUAAAAGUGCCAUCGAUACUGGUUUUCUUGAGUGUGGAUGAAGUAGGCGGAUUUGUGGUGUAGCGGUGAAAUGCAUAGAUAUCACGAGGAACUCCGAUUGCGCAGCAGCUUACUAGGCCAUACUGACGCUCAGGCACGAAGGCGUGGGAUCAA